Non-coding RNA from Podarcis lilfordi (Lilford's wall lizard), 70 nucleotides. The record is from the annotation of a GenBank genome assembly. NCBI's taxonomy places the organism in Eukaryota, Metazoa, Chordata, Lepidosauria, Squamata, Lacertidae.
GGUUGUAGCUAAAGGGGAGAGCCUCUGCCUAGCAUGCAGAAGGUCCCAGGUUCAAUCCCCAGCAUCGCCA